UUUUUUUUUUUUUUUUUUUACCUUAUUUGACAUUAUAGUUCUUAGCUCAUUCUUACAAUAUGGAGUCUUAAACUUACUUCACCUGCUCUUCCGCAAAAAGAAAGAAAGAAAGAAAGAAAGAAAGAAAGAAAGAAAGAAAGAAAGAAAUAAAAUGUAGUUAGGGAAAAUAGUUCAGUAUGAACAGCCAUUCAAGUAAAACAGAAAGAAAGAAAGAAAGAAAGAAGAAAAUGUAGUUAGGGAAGAUAGUUAAUGAUGAAGAAGCAUUAAAAAACAGAAAGAAAGAAAGAAAGAAAGAAAACAUAGACAGUAAAAAUAAUUAAGCGUAAACAGGCAUGCAAGAAAAACAGGGCUCUGCAAAAAGAAUGAUUGAAUUCAUUAAUAAUUCAAUAAUUAUUGUUUCUGAAUGAAAUGAAAUCUUCCUGGAAAAUCAUCCAGUCAUUCAACUGAAAAUGCUGCUUAAAGGAGCUCAGAAACACUCCGAGUGCAUCCAGUUUUAUAAAAGAUCCUGAUCACGUGUACUGCGAUCGUUUCUCAUUCGACAGUUUAAUAAACCCCAAAAUACACUUUGGCUUUGACUACGAAUACAAAAGCAGAUAUGAGUAUUUGAAGCACUAAACAGAUACAGAUACAAAUAUAGCUGCAAGCAGCAGUACGGGGGUCAAGCCCAUUAUUGGCACCGCGCCACGAGCAGCAAAUGAAGCUUUGUGACAUGUUUUUCAUUAGAGUCCGAUGCACGGUGUAUGAGGAGUUAGAAAAAGCAAAAUUUAAAUCCUAAAAAAACCCAACAUUUAUUUUUAAAAAUAACUAAAAAUAGCUACUUCUUGGAAAUUUUGUCCAAUAUGUGGCACUGUUCUGAAACCGCUCAGGUAGCAUCUGGGCCUGAUGGCUUUCAUGCAGGAAAGUGUUCACAAGUUAUAAGCCAAAAAAGCCAUUUUUUGCUAUUUCCUGACCAGUAGGGGGCAGUGUGCCGAAACUCUGCAGGUCACCUCAGGGUCUAAUGAUGAUGACGCAAACCAAGUUUUGUCACAAUCCCUCAAAGCGUUACGGAGAUAUACCCUCACGUCCAUUCUGGCAUUGAAGCGCCAUUCAAAAAUGGUAUGGUUUAUCAAAAUUCGGGGAGAAUCUUUUAGCCGUAAGUGUCUCUAGAUCAUGCACGCUAAUUUUCCUGCAAAUCGGACAAAUAGCUUAGGACGAUGAAUUGAGUUAGAGACACCUAAUUCAAUUUGCUGUAUUAACAGUACAGCCUGCAAGCGGUUCUAUGGGCUGCCAUCGAGUCAAGAGCAGAAGAAGAAGAAGAACACUAACAAAAACAGUAGGGUUCUUCGCGCCUUCAAGGCUUGACCCCUAAUUAAAACUGCAAGCAGAAUUUUUCGGGGCCCAAGCACCCAGACUCGGUGAGCCAUACAUUCACAGACACACUACAAUUGCUACAUAAGGUAUCACUAUUGGUAUUCAGGAGUGAUUUGUAGUUUGCCAGUCUGUUAUGGGAGAACAGUUUUAAAUAUCAGUUCCUUUGAUAACUUUUGUUUACACAGGUCUGAUGUGAGACAAAUUUGGUGAAGACUGGAAAAAAUGGCAGUUAGAUGAAAACAUUUUUAGCAUGUUAUUGAAACUUUUGUCCAGCAAGUCGCACUGGCAAGAAAUUUGUUGCAUAGCCCGAGGUCAUGGUCCUGAGGAUGCCUACCAAGUAUUGGUGGCUUUGCUGUCACAUUCAUUGGCCCAUUACAGACAAACCUUUUUUUUUUUUUUUUUUUUUUGAUAACCGUUCUUUUGGUAACUUAUGUGAGGCUUAUUCUUAAGAUAAGACCGACAAAACAGUUUUAGACAAACUCCAAGAUGGUGGAAAAUUUAAUUAGGCAGAAAUUGACAUUAUAGGGUGCGUUCAAUUUGUCUCAACCAGGGAAUCCACGGAUGUCUGGUUUUUAUGUUUUGGACACACAGUUCAAAAGUUCUGACCGUAAACGUACUUCCAUAUUUGGCAGAAAUUUGACCCGAUGGUGGCGCUAGAGCGUUGUCAGUACUUGGCCCAAAUUUGGUCAGAAUGUUCGUUAGACCCUCCCUAAUCAGUGAGCCAAACUUCACAACUUUUUACCAGAUGGUUCUCUGGGCUGCCAUAGACCUUAGCCAGAAGAAGAAGAAGAAGAAGAAGAGUAAGAAGAUAGAAUAACAAUAGGGUGCAUACACACGGAAAAUUCCAUUCCGUUGCACCCCUAAUGUAAGAUAAGUAAGGGUAAAAGGUAUUUUAAACACAGGUAAUAACUACAUUCUUUAAUAGAACAGCAUUUUUGUCACCCUAGUUCACUAUUGCUCCAAUUUAUCUCGAAAUAUAAUCACUGAAAUACUUAUGAGUAUUAUGUUUGCAAUCCUCGAAUCCUUUAAACAUCUCACGCUGCUUUUCAAACAUUCUCUUCCACAAAAAUUCUUUUCCACAAGUCGUCCAUUUUAUGUUAUGAAAAAAAUGUCCCCUUUAAUCAAAAUCAACCCAGUUACCUGAACACAUUCACCCUUAAGAAACAUUCGGACUAUUCUUCCAAGUCCUAUGUUUGAAUAUCCAAAAUUCCUGAAUAUCAUGGACAGAAGAAAAAUACAUCCUCUCAUUAUUUUUCUAUAUUUUGGAUGAUAUUAUGAUUUUGAGUGAUGAAAGUACAAAUUAUUGCUUGAAAGUAAAUUAGCAUGGACUCAACCACGUUUAACAGAUUUGAUCAUUCUCCGCUAGUAAAAUUUUUACACGAUUAAAACACUGUUCCUCGUUUGAGAGCUGAAUGUCAGCAAGGAAAUGGACAUAUUGUUCCUCGAGAUGGCCGAAGACAUUUUUUUCCUGAAUGGUUAAAUGCAUGUUUUCUCAUAUUUAAUGUUAAAAAAUCAUGUGUGUGACAUAUCCAAACCUACCUUUCAUAGAAAUCCUAUAGCAUAUGUCACUGACAUUGACGUACGUCACAUGACCGUGCUUUUUAACAUUUUUUUAUUAUCGUAACGUGAAAUGCUAGUUUGCCUGUCACAUACAUAAUUACACUUCUGACAUCACUUAGCGCGCUCUUAAUUUUUUAUUAUAUGCCUCGUGUUAUUAAUAUCUGUCAUUACUGGGGCGUAGUGUAGAGUCGGGAUGAGAAAAGUAGCGUGGUUUCUCGCAGAGCUGCCAAGCUGUCGCUCGUCCCUCGCAGGUGUGCUUCAGGUCACGCCGCUUGUGGAGGUAACCUUCAGCAAUUUACACUUGAGGAAAGCAUGACCUAAAAUAUCCAGAGAAAGACUAUGCAUAUGAGGAGCUAACUCAGCUAAAAGUGGCUAAAUCUAGCACACAUACUGUACUAUGCAUCCCAAAUAGAUAAAUGGAUAGAACUGCAUAUGCACAAUAUAGCUACAGGAAACACUUGUUAGCUAAAAUUAACCAAAAUACAAGUUCUUCUUAUUCUUCUACUUAUUAUUAUUAUUAUUAUCUUCUUAUAUAUCUUUUUUUUUAUAUAGCUUUAGACAAAUAGACAUAUAAAUAUAUAGAGAUAUAGAGUGUCCUCUUUAAGAACGUUAAGUUGUACGCAAAUAAAACGGGAAACUGUGGUAUUGGGUUGUUUUCCACAUGGAUGGAUGGGCAGAUGUGUGAUAGAAAGAUAGACACAAUAAAAUAUAUAGAGAGACACACACAUAUAUAUGGUUU
Ictalurus punctatus (channel catfish) is the source of this 3649-nucleotide long non-coding RNA. The record is from Ensembl. NCBI's taxonomy places the organism in Eukaryota, Metazoa, Chordata, Actinopteri, Siluriformes, Ictaluridae.